RNAcentral lists this ribosomal RNA (680 nucleotides) under Bacillus sp. K396. RNAcentral's name for it is "bacterial SSU rRNA". It matches the Rfam family "Bacterial small subunit ribosomal RNA", at positions 91 to 847 of the family's 1533-position model. The record is from RNAcentral. Lineage: Bacteria; Bacillati; Bacillota; Bacilli; Caryophanales; Bacillaceae.
CAGUCACGCGAACGGGUGAGUAACACGUGGGUAACCUGCCUGUAAGCUGGGAUAACUCCGGGAAACCGGGGCUAAUCCGAUACUCAUUUCCUCGCAUGAGAAAUGUUGAAAGGUGGCUUUUAGCUAUCACUUACAGAUGGACCCGCGGCGCAUUAGCUAGUUGGUGAGGUAAUGGCUCACCAAGGCGACGAUGCGUAGCCGACCUGAGAGGGUGAUCGGCCACACUGGGACUGAGACACGGCCCAGACUCCUACGGGAGGCAGCAGUAGGGAAUCUUCCGCAAUGGACGAAAGUCUGACGGAGCAACGCCGCGUGAGUGAUGAAGGUUUUCGGAUCGUAAAGCUCUGUUGUUAGGGAAGAACAAGUACCGUUCGAAUAGGGCGGUACCUUGACGGUACCUAACCAGAAAGCCACGGCUAACUACGUGCCAGCAGCCGCGGUAAUACGUAGGUGGCAAGCGUUGUCCGGAAUUAUUGGGCGUAAAGCGCGCGCAGGUGGUUUCUUAAGUCUGAUGUGAAAGUCCGCGGCUCAACCUUGGAGGGUCGGUGGCCCUGGGUUUGCUCGAGCCCAGCAGUGAAAACCCUUGGUAGUCCUGAGUUUGAUCAGGGCUCAGGAUUAGAUACCCUGGUAGUCCUGAGUUUGAUCCUGGCUCAGGAUUAGAUACCCUGGUAGUCAUGAGU